UGACACUCAGAAGCAAGCUGGAGCUCGGGGAGGGGGGGGGUGGCAUUGCUGACGAUGGCACAGAGCAGCUGAGCUCAAAGGCUGGCAAAUUCAAGAGGUUUUAGGGUGAUAAAAUAAAAAGUGGCACAAAGUGGCAGCAUGUCACAGUCUCUCCUCUCCCCCAUCAGCUGUCUACAAUAGAAGCUGUGAUAGGAUCUGUGAAAUCAUCUCUACCGCUCAAGGGGGAGAGAAAGUCAACUGAAGAAGCCAGCAGGAACAAGGUCACAGCUCAAGCCAGUAACACAGAAGGAACAAGCCCUCAGCCCCUUACAACAUCCCUGAACCACCUAGCUCUGUCUGAACUACAGACCCUUCAGGACUGAAUGGUGUUCCCAGGAAGCAGCUGCCCAUCAGGAGCUCACUCCAGCAGGGUGGGCACAGUUCUCCGGUACUUGUGAAAGCAUUCUUGCAAGCAAGCUGAAGAAGUAUUGGAUUAGAUGAAUGGACUGUAAGGUGGAGAAAGCUCACCGGAUCAACAGUCUCAACAGCUCGAGAAUGGUUUCCUGCCAUGGCACUGGGCCAAGGCAUCUCUGAGUCCCAGUGCAAACACUUCCACGCUGCCAGGGUGGAGUCUGCUCUACUGGACAGAUGGAGGGAGGUAACAAGCUGGAGACAAGUGAGCUCUCUUGAAAGCUGUUUUCCAGAGGGUUGGUUUGUACUCAGAUUUUUUUUUAAUGUUUCCCUCCCCCCUUUAAAAAAUGAGAAGAGAUCUGCCCUGUCACAGCUAUCAGGGAAAACAGGGGCCUUUGCUACCAUGUAAGGCUUUCAAUAAAGAAAUUAUAAAAUUGUGGAGAAAUCCCAAAUUUUCUCUCUGGGGCUUUAAUACACCCUGAUACAGAGCUAGUCUGUGCCUAAGCACCUACUUUCCUCAAGUGGGACCCCAAGAAAUAGCAGCCCGGUCCCAGCUCCCUCCCCACCCAGUUACUGCUCAUGGCAGAUUCAAACACUCCUCCACAGUUUGAAGUCGCUCUCCUUAUCUUUCCCACCACACCAAGGUGCAAACUUUGAGAUAAGUGUGUGUCUAAUCUAUGAAAGGCAUCACACUGCAGCCCCUGCCACUGUCACAGGCAUUUUUAGAUUUAGCCUAAAAAAGUGGGGGAGCUUGCAAAUCCUAGGGACUCUUGUUUCAUGAACUGAUGGAAAGAUCCACUGCUUUUUGUUUCUGGCUCUCUCUUUCCUACAUAUUCUCCCCUUCAGCAUUUGAGAGCAGGGCUCUGAUGCUGCAAUGUACCUCUUGCAGGCUCAGGCCAGAACAUUGCGCUGCUGCAAAUGAGUUACAAAUGAGCCUGAUCUGUCUGUGUCAUUUUUUUUUUUUUAGUACAUCGGGAUCUAAUCUUCAUUUAGCUUCCCUGCCAGCUGCUGCACUUGAAAUAAUAAUCAGUGAAACCAAUGAAGCUGCUUUCCCUGUCCAAGAUGAGCGAAAUGUAGUGAUCCACCACACAGACACUAAGGGUUUUGAGAAUCUUGGUUUUAACAAAAAGGUGGAAGGAAUUGCUUUUAACUGUGAGUUAAUUGGAAAAUAUCCUCUUACAGGAAAGGGAUUGAAAAAAAAAGAACAGAUUAAAUACCACCCCCCACCCCAGCUACUAAUGACAUCCUCGCUUAUUAAGAUGGAAAGAAUGUUAUUAACUCAAUUUACUUUGGGUUAUAAAAAGUCAGUAAGUCAGACACAGGGCUGCAGUUUUGGGCAAGAUGAGCAGGGGGCCUUGUUAAUAAAUAACUGUUUGCACUAGA
Alligator mississippiensis (American alligator) is the source of this 1773-nucleotide long non-coding RNA. RefSeq lists it as uncharacterized. The record is from RefSeq and is a predicted model, not a curated record. The transcript is spliced from 4 exons. NCBI's taxonomy places the organism in Eukaryota, Metazoa, Chordata, Crocodylia, Alligatoridae.